GGGUUAGUAGGUUGGUCAUGCCUCUGGUAUGUACUGGUCUCACUGAUUCCUCCUUCCUGAUGAGCCGUAAUGCCAUUAAUUUGGUGUUGCGGGGAAAUUGGACUGUUACUUUGAAAAAAUUAGAGUGUUUAAAGCAGGCAUUUUUGCUUGAAUACAUUAGCAUGGAAUAAUGAAAUAGGACGUUCGAUCCUAUUUUGUUGGUUUCUAGGAUUGACGUA
RNAcentral lists this ribosomal RNA (218 nucleotides) under Campeiostachys nutans. RNAcentral describes it as "Elymus nutans partial small subunit ribosomal RNA". The stretch from base 40 to 218 matches the Rfam family "Eukaryotic small subunit ribosomal RNA", at positions 686 to 864 of the family's 1831-position model. Lineage: Eukaryota; Viridiplantae; Streptophyta; Magnoliopsida; Poales; Poaceae. The record is from RNAcentral.